UACGAAGGGGCGUAGCGUUGUUCGGAUUUACUUGGGCGGUAAAGACGCGUGUAGGCGGGUCGGUUAAGUUGGGGUGGAAAUACCCGACGGCUCAACCUCGGAACUGCCUUCAAAACUAGGCGACCUGGACUCAAGUAGAGGCAAGUGGAAUUGCGAGUGUAGAGGUGAAAUUCGUAGAUAUUCGGAGGAACACCGGUGGCGAAGGCGGCUUCCUGGCAUGUAACUGACACUCAUGUUCG
This 239-nucleotide ribosomal RNA is filed under the name uncultured bacterium. Its description in RNAcentral is "partial 16S ribosomal RNA". It matches the Rfam family "Bacterial small subunit ribosomal RNA", at positions 524 to 755 of the family's 1533-position model. The record is from RNAcentral.